GAUGAAAAAACCCUCCUCUCUUGAACAAGAAGCGGCGCACCUCUCUGUUCUUGAGCUAAAAGAAACGAACACCCUCCCCUUCUUCUUCUCUAUUCCCUCCUCACAUUACCCUCUCACCCUUCAACACCACCUUACACACACACACACGAGAAAAUGGCUAAAUAAUAGAUUGAGAUUUUGAGAAAUCAAAUCAAGAUCUGAGAGUUUAGGAGCUCGAAAAAAAUACAAAGGAGCAUAGACGAGUUUUUAAAGUUCAAAUCUGUUCUCCUGGGUUUACAAGAGCUGUAGAGGAUUAUUAAGUGCCCCUGCUGUUGUUUUGAAAUUGGCUGAGCUUUGUCCGUUAAUUUCUGGCUUUAAUUGGGUCUUCUCAAUUACUGUUUUCCUGAGAUAAAGCCAAAGAGAAGUUGAAAAUAUUUGUUGUGUAACAUCGAGCGGGUUCCUGAUUACUCGAACUUGAAUUGCUUCUUCCUUUCGUUCUCCAGGCGGGCUUCUGACUACUUGACAUUUGGAUUGUAUUCCUUUGUUCUCCAGGUGGGCUCCUGAUUGCUAAAACUCGAA
Molecule: long non-coding RNA, 558 nt
Organism: Nicotiana tabacum (common tobacco)
Lineage: Eukaryota; Viridiplantae; Streptophyta; Magnoliopsida; Solanales; Solanaceae
Source: RefSeq, a predicted model, not a curated record